AUGGGUGAGAGACAGAAAGAAGACCAAGCG
Molecule: non-coding RNA, 30 nt
Filed under: Cricetulus griseus (Chinese hamster)
Lineage: Eukaryota; Metazoa; Chordata; Mammalia; Rodentia; Cricetidae
Source: RNAcentral